This 64-nucleotide small nucleolar RNA is filed under the name Nosema bombycis CQ1. The record is from RNAcentral. Lineage: Eukaryota; Fungi; Microsporidia; Nosematidae.
CCGAAGAGUGAUGACUUUUACCGCCCCAGUCUGAAAAUGAUGAAACGGUUCGUUCUGACUUCCA